UUGCAAUUGCCUCUUCUUCUCUGUCGUCUCUACAUCUCUGCACUUCUCUCAUCUCCCAUCAGCCUCCCAGACCGCCCCUCUAUCCAACACCAGCGAGUUUUCGGUGCCUGUGUGCUUCUAAUUUUCCUUGUGUUGCACUUUGAUUUUCUU
Caenorhabditis elegans is the source of this 150-nucleotide non-coding RNA. NCBI's taxonomy places the organism in Eukaryota, Metazoa, Nematoda, Chromadorea, Rhabditida, Rhabditidae. The record is from Ensembl.